RNAcentral lists this ribosomal RNA (509 nucleotides) under Abisara echerius. Its description in RNAcentral is "partial 16S ribosomal RNA". The record is from RNAcentral. Lineage: Eukaryota; Metazoa; Arthropoda; Insecta; Lepidoptera; Riodinidae.
UUUUUGAUAAUAAUUUAAAGUCUAAUCUGCCCACUGAUAAUUAUUAAAGGGCUGCAGUAUUUUGACUGUACAAAGGUAGCAUAAUCAAUAGUCUUUUAAUUGAAGACUAGUAUGAAAGAUUGAAUGAAAUAUAAACUGUCUUUUUAAUAAAAUUAAAAAUUAAUUUUUUAGUCAAAAAGCUAAAAUGAAUUUAAAAGACGAGAAGACCCUAUAGAGUUUUAUAAUUAAAUUUAUUUUUUUAAAAUAUAAAUAAUUUAAAAAAAAAUAUAUUUAAUUAUUUUGUUGGGGUGAUAAAAAAAUUAAAUAAACUUUUUUUAAAAUUUAACAAAAAUAAUUGAAUAAGUGAUCCAUUAAUUAUGAUUAAAAGAAUAAAUUACCUUAGGGAUAACAGCGUAAUAUUUUUUUUUAGUACAAAUAAAAAAAAAAGUUUGCGACCUCGAUGUUGGAUUAAGAUAAAAAUUAAAUGCAAAAGUUUAAAAUUUUGAUCUGUUCGAUCAUUAAAAUCUUAC